CAUGGAGGGUGAGAAUCCCGUCCGGCUGACCUUCAGGACGUUUUACGAUACGCUCUCAAAGAGUCGAGUUGUUUGGGAUUGCAGCUCAAAAUGGGAGGUAAAUUUCUCCUAAGGCUAAAUACCGGCGAGAGACCGAUAGCGAACAAGUACCGUGAGGGAAAGAUGAAAAGAAUUUUGAAAAGAAAGUCAAACAGUACGUGAAAUUGUUGAAAGGGAAACGAUUGAAGCCAGUCGUACCGACGGGAAUUCAACUUCUCGAGUGCUAAUCGUGGGUGACGUUGAGCCUCACGGCCUUCGUUGCUUGUGUUGUUGGUGCUUUUGGGGUGUACUUUUCCGUAUUGGUAGGUCAGCAUCGAUUUCGAUCGUCAUAAAAUGAUCGGGGGAAUGUAGCUUCGGUCUCGUAUCGGAGUGUUAUAGACCUUGGUAGAUGUGACGAUUGGGAUCGAGGAUUGCAACGAAUACCUUCUGGGCUAUCCGUCUGACCUCUGAAAGUCGCUCGGGUGUCGAAAGCGUGCUUAUGGCUAUUCGAGUUGGCGGUCAAUAGGUUAGAACGUGAUUACAUUCGUUAAGGAUGUUGACGUAAUGG
This 586-nucleotide ribosomal RNA is filed under the name uncultured Glomus. RNAcentral's name for it is "eukaryotic LSU rRNA". It matches the Rfam family "Eukaryotic large subunit ribosomal RNA", at positions 204 to 637 of the family's 3401-position model. The record is from RNAcentral. Lineage: Eukaryota; Fungi; Glomeromycota; Glomeromycetes; Glomerales; Glomeraceae.